GCAAUUAAUAGUUAUUAUUUUUUAUCAAAAAUAAUAAUUAUUAAAUUGAUAGGGUUGUUGAGUGUUGAAUUUCUUCUAGACCGUUUAUUUAUUUAUUUCCAAGCUUUGUUGUGUUAACUUGCAUAAUAUUUUAUCUACUAUUCUUAUUUAAGUUUGAUUUAUUUUCAAGAAACCCUUGCAUUUCUUUUAGAACAUGUUCAGUGGAGUUUGUAGCUUUUCUAAGACUUGUACCUCUUUUUUUUUUUUUUUGCUUUCUAAACGUGUUAAUUGUUGGAAAAUUGCACCCUAUAUACAUGAAAAAAACAUAAAUACACUAACUAACCAAAAUUUUCCCCUCUCUCUUACUUUUUCUUCCUAUCUCUCUCUACUCUCUCUCUCAAAAUCUAAUUUUUCAUUUUUUUUUGUUAUUCGGCAAAUAAACCCAUAAUUGUUUAUAUGUAUCUACUUUUCACGACUCAAUGUAACAUGUUUAUUUAAUCAAACCGCAAGUUCAAUAUUACACAAAAAGCCAAUCUAAUAAAUUUCCGAAGCAACUUUAAAAAAUAUAUAUUUAUUUUAGGAUAUGAUAAUACAAUUAGCUUGGAAAAAAAUAGAUUUGUUCGUGUUAGUGUUGAAAACUUUUCAUAUGCGAUUUGUUAAUGAUGUUUUUGCAGAUAUAGCAAAUUUUACUGGUAAG
RNAcentral lists this long non-coding RNA (676 nucleotides) under Brassica rapa (field mustard). Its description in RNAcentral is "long non-coding RNA (BRAP_LNC006408)". The record is from RNAcentral. Lineage: Eukaryota; Viridiplantae; Streptophyta; Magnoliopsida; Brassicales; Brassicaceae.